This 253-nucleotide ribosomal RNA is filed under the name uncultured prokaryote. RNAcentral describes it as "partial 16S ribosomal RNA". It matches the Rfam family "Bacterial small subunit ribosomal RNA", at positions 525 to 777 of the family's 1533-position model. The record is from RNAcentral.
ACGUAGGGGGCGAGCGUUGUCCGGAUUCAUUGGGCGUAAAGCGCGGGCAGGCGGCCCGCCCAGUCGGCCGUGAAAGCGCCGGGCUCAACUCGGCGAGGACGGGCGAUACUGGCGGGCUGGAGGCUGGCAGAGGGCGGUGGAAUUCCGGGUGUAGUGGUGGAAUGCGUAGAGCUCCGGAGGAACACCAGUGGCGAAGGCGGCCGCCUGGGCCAGACCUGACGCUGAGCCGCGAAAGCGUGGGGAGCGAUCCGGA